RNAcentral lists this long non-coding RNA (492 nucleotides) under Manihot esculenta (cassava). Its description in RNAcentral is "long non-coding RNA (MESC_LNC001016)". Lineage: Eukaryota; Viridiplantae; Streptophyta; Magnoliopsida; Malpighiales; Euphorbiaceae. The record is from RNAcentral.
UGGCUAAUUACAAAGAGGACUUUAGAAAAAUUACAACCCAAAAGACGACUCAAUCAAAACAGCACAGCAAUAACCACCAAACUAAGACCCAGCCCACCAAGUAUUUAGAAGCCCAAAAUCCAAACCCAUAUCUAUAAUGCAAAUGUCAAACCAAACAGAACCUUUCCUGAAAGCCAAAAUCGAGCUACUGCCUCCAUGUACUUAAGUCCAAAAUAGCAUCCCUAACAGAAAAAUAACAAAGACCUGCAAAAACGAAUCAAAGCAAACAAAUAAAAACACAAUCGCCAUUACCGGAGCGAGUACGGAUCCAACUCCUAUCCGAAAGCAGGCCAAAAAAGCCAAACAGCUAAAUAAAACUAAAAUAAAAACCAAAAUAUUGACGAAAAUCAAGAGCACCCUCGUCCGGGCGCUUACCUACAAUUCUCCUUGAGAACCAUUGGACCAUUGACAUUCAGUCUCAGUCUAGCCUUUACAUGAAAGCUUAAUCUAAAA